UACGUAGGGUGCAAGCGUUGUCCGGAAUUAUUGGGCGUAAAGAGCUCGUAGGCGGCCAGUUGCGUCUGCUGUGAAAUCCCGGGGCUCAACCCCGGGCGUGCAGUGGAUACGGGCUGGCUAGAGGCAGGCAGGGGAGAACGGAAUUCCCGGUGUAGCGGUGAAAUGCGCAGAUAUCAGGAGGAACACCAAUUGCGAAGGCAGCUCGCUGGGACGUUACUGACGCUGAGACGCGAAAGCGUGGGGAGCAAACAGG
This 253-nucleotide ribosomal RNA is filed under the name uncultured bacterium. Its description in RNAcentral is "partial 16S ribosomal RNA". It matches the Rfam family "Bacterial small subunit ribosomal RNA", at positions 524 to 776 of the family's 1533-position model. The record is from RNAcentral.